UUUCAAUUCUUACUUUGGUUUCAAUUCUCAGUAUUUCAUUAAUAUGCUGCUGACAUACAACCACAGAGGUGACAGACUGUGACGCCCCCGGGCUGUCAUAAAUGCAUUGUUGAAUGCAAUCAUUUUACAUAAUUACGUGUUUGCAAAUGAGGAGACAUUAGGUGCCCAAUUCACCCUCAUGAUAUUUACAGGAUGCUCCAUAAAUAUUAGCUUAAUGUUGGGGAAAUAGUUCCUCUAGCCACGAACUGGAGGUCGGGGUGACACCAAAAUUCCCUUUUUACUAUAUGUAGUUAAAACAGAACCCAUAACCCCAAUUAUUCAUGCGGAUAUACCUGCACAACUGCAAAUAAAAAGUAAAAAUCUUCUUCAGGGAUUCUCAUACCCCACAGGUGCAUUCCAGGACAUAUUCACACUGUAUAUAGAUAUAUAUGCUUUGUAUAGUUUUAUGUUAUCCUGAAAAUCAGAGGCAUUUAGGAAUAUAUAAUUUUAACAAGAAGUAUGAAAUAAGACAUGGCAUCAAACUUUGCGGAGGAGUUAGCUUACAUUUGGCUAAAAUUAGAUUUUAAGCAUAACCCUCAAGUAUGCUCCCUAGGAUUUUCUUUGGUACUUCCACUGACACAAUUUAAUCAACCUCUUUCAUUUGAUAGCACUUUCAAGAAAAUAUCUAGAUGUGGUGCAAAUCUCCAUUAUAUCAAGUUGUUUCAGUUUAACAAUAAUACUCUUUGUU
Bufo bufo (common toad) is the source of this 727-nucleotide long non-coding RNA. RefSeq lists it as uncharacterized. The record is from RefSeq and is a predicted model, not a curated record. NCBI's taxonomy places the organism in Eukaryota, Metazoa, Chordata, Amphibia, Anura, Bufonidae. The transcript is spliced from 3 exons.